Molecule: long non-coding RNA, 533 nt
Filed under: Urocitellus parryii (Arctic ground squirrel)
Lineage: Eukaryota; Metazoa; Chordata; Mammalia; Rodentia; Sciuridae
Description: lncRNA (ENSUPAG00010022871.1)
Source: RNAcentral
CCCCUGGCGCCGGCGCUGGGAAUCCCCGUGCGGUCAGUGGCGUUUCCGCUCGGGCAGCGGGCUGAGUGAGCUGCCGCCGCCGCCGCCGCCGCCGCCGCUGGGGGAGGGGCGGCCGCCGCCCGCCUGCGCUCAGAGACUCACGCAGCCCCAGUCCCGCCAGUCCGCCAACACAGUAGUGCCGGCCCCCCUCCCUCCCUGGCCCUUCCCCCUCCCCGCCUUUGGCUCGCUCCGCCUUUUUGCCCCCCACCCCCACCUCACGGGUACGGGCCAUUCCCGGCCAGGAAACGCCGUGGCGCCGCGUUGGGCCUAACUCGAGUCUUGCUGCCUCCCGGGAGUGCCGUGCGCCGCAGCCCGGGCCCAGGCCCCGGCAGCGCCUGGGACAAGGUCUUCAGAGCUACUGGCAGAUAAUUUUGGGGGACUUCAUAUUCAGAGGUCUAUAUAAAGGAUUCCUCAUGUCCAUAACAUGUUGGCUGAGGCUCUGGAGCUCACCCCCACUCUCAGAGUGGUCAGUCUCCAUUAAUUGGAUCCCUUGA